CGCAUAUUGCGCCUUUUGGCAUUCCGAAAGGCAUGCCUGUUCGAGCGUCAUUACAACCCUCAAACUUAGGUUUGAUGUUGGGCAUAUUUGCCGUUAUGGCAUGCCUAAAAUUUAGUGAUGGUAACCUUUAACCACAGGCGCAUACAUGUCGCUAAUGAUGGGGAUUGGUGGCCAUUUUCAACCACUUUUAUCAAAUGUUGACCUCGGAUCAGGUAGGGAUACCCGCUGAACUUAA
RNAcentral lists this unclassified non-coding RNA (235 nucleotides) under Lecanoromycetes sp. RNAcentral's name for it is "partial contains 5.8S ribosomal RNA, internal transcribed spacer 2, and large subunit ribosomal RNA". Lineage: Eukaryota; Fungi; Ascomycota; Lecanoromycetes. The record is from RNAcentral.